GCGAUUGGAGCGGCCGAUAUCAGAUUAGGUAGUUGGUGAGGUAAAGGGCUCACCAAGCCGACGAUCUGUAGCUGGUCUGAGAGGACGACCAGCCACACUGGGACUGAGACACGGCCCAGACUCCUACGGGAGGCAGCAGUGAGGAAUAUUGGUCAAUGGGCGCAAGCCUGAACCAGCCAUGCCGCGUGCAGGAAGACGGUCCUAUGGAUUGUAAACUGCUUUUAUACAGGAAGAAACCCUCCCACGUGUGGGAGCUUGACGGUACUGUAGGAAUAAGGAUCGGCUAACUCCGUG
RNAcentral lists this ribosomal RNA (294 nucleotides) under uncultured bacterium. RNAcentral's name for it is "partial 16S ribosomal RNA". It matches the Rfam family "Bacterial small subunit ribosomal RNA", at positions 217 to 507 of the family's 1533-position model. The record is from RNAcentral.